Molecule: long non-coding RNA, 433 nt
Organism: Zophobas morio
Lineage: Eukaryota; Metazoa; Arthropoda; Insecta; Coleoptera; Tenebrionidae
Exons: 3
Source: RefSeq, a predicted model, not a curated record
AAAACGUAAAAAUAUCUCCACAUCAUGAUGUUAUAAUCUAGUUUGUUUGUAAAGUGAUAACUUGUUGUGUUUGUAAGCAUCUUACUAUAAAGUAAAGCUGUUAAGCACUGAGAUAAAAGGUGGAGGUUAGAUGGACAGAAAAUUCGUAAAGGUGCCCUAUUUGAACCUGGUUUGGCAUCUUACAUUGGAGCGGUUCUAUUUAAGGCGAGUCGCCACGUUUGGCUCUUGUGAAUAUCCAAAGAGGAAAGUACGGACGUUGCACUCAGCAGGACCUUGAAAUGUUUGUUGAAGUGUAUCGCUCUAGUGGGGUCGGGCUUAAUGAGCGCCAAAGAAGAUUUGCAGUGCCGAAAGCGACUUUAAAGAGACACUUAACCACGAAAAUAAAGUAGCCAACGAUAUCAAGAAAGUCAUAGGGCGAUCUACUACGUUUGAA